AUGAACAACAUGCUAUGCAUGCUGAAAGACAAUGCCAAUGCUGAUGACACUCAGCUCUAUUUAUCCAUGAAACCCGAGGAGACAGAGAAGUUAGUGAAGCUCCAGACCUGUCUUAAAGACAUAAAGUCCUGGAUGUCUUCAAAUUUCCUCCUCCUUAACCCAGGAAAAACUGAGGUCAUGGUGUUUGGUCCUGAACCUCUCAGGGAUAGAUUAGAUCACAUGAUCACUCUAGAUGGUAUCUCAUUAACAUCUAGUCUCUCUGUGAGGAAUCUAGGAGUAACUUUUGAUCAAAAUCUCUCCUUCAACUCACACAUUAAAUUAGUCUCUAGAAGUGCCUUUUUUCACUUGAGGAACAUCUCAAAGAUCAGGAAGCUACUGAUGCAGCCUGAUGCUGAAAAGUUAGUCCAUGCAUUUGUUACUUCCAGGCUGGACUACUGUAACUCCUUAUUAUCAGGGUGUCCAAACAACUCUUUAAGAAGCCUCCAGUUGAUCCAAAAUGCUGCAGUUCUGACAGGUAUUGACAAAAGAGAUCACAUAAGUCCUGUAAUGGCGUCGCUUCAUUGGCUGCCCGUUAAAUUUAGAAUAACUUUUAAAACCCUUCUUCUGACCUACAAGGUCCUCAGAGGCCUAGCUCCAUCCUACCUGGAGGAGCUAGUGAUACCCUAUCAGCCCAAUAGACCGCUCCGCUCUCAGAAUGCUGGUCUACUUGUGGUUCCCAGAGUUUCUAGGAGUAGAAUGGGGGGCCGAGCAUUUAGCUACCAGGCCCCCAUGCUUUGGAACCAGCUCCCUGUCCGGUACGGGAGGCUGACUCCCAUUGCUACUUUUAAGAUCAGACUCAAAACCUACCUCUUUGAAAAAGCUUACUGUUACUAAUUCAGUUAGUUCAAGUUACUAUCAUAGACAGACAAAUUAUCAUACUUAGGGGGGUCGUCUAAUCAUUAGGUCACAUUCUAGCUAUGCUGUUAUAGGCCAAGGCUGCCGGGGUCCGGAAACAUGAUCACCUGACAGGCCUCUGUCACUCCACUGGGUCAUGGUUUCCUCUCCUUUCCUCUCCUCAUCAAGCAGACUAGUUAUGCUGAUUCUUGUGUAGUUUUUCUGCUUCCCCCCCCUCUUAUCUAUUCUGCAGGUAUCACUGCCAUCGGAGCUGCAUAAUGACCGCCGGCCCGUUUUAAGUGAUUGUGCAUAUUUUUUGUUGUGUGUUUCUGUGCUAUGUGAAUCUACUCUCCCUUUUCCAUCCCUCUCCUCUCCUAUCUCCUCUCCUCUCCUCUCCUCUCCUCUCCUCUCCUCUCCUCUCCUCUCCUCUCCUUCUCCUUCUCCUUCUCCUUUUCCUCUCCCUCUCCUCUUCUUUCCUCUCCUCUUUCCCCUCCUCCUCCUUCUCCUCUCCUCUACCUCCCCUUCACUCUACCUCUCCUCUCCUCUACCCCUCUCCUCUCCUACCUAUCCUAUCCUCUACCUGUCCUCCCUCCUCUCCUCUCUCUUUACCCAGCCGGCCAUCAGCAGGAGGGUCCCCCUACAUGAGCCUGGUCCUGCUCAAGGUUUCUUCCUGUUAAAGGGGAGUUUUUCCUUGCCACUGUUGCUUGUCUGGGGUCAGGCCCUGGGAUUCUGGAAAGCGCCUUGAAACAAUUUUGAUUGUAUAAGACACUAUAUAAAUAAAGAUUGAUUGAUUGAUUGAUUGAUGAUUCGCACCACAGCCGAAGGAGUGUGGUCUGUAGAUAGAAUGGUUAAUCUGUGGGUAAGAGAAGGAGAGACGUGCAGUAAAUUUUGGUCACUCGACAUUCCCGAAAAGCAGCCCCCUCCAUUCUCUGACCCAAUUACUAUGAUAUAUGGUAAAGCUCUGGCAUACUUACAACCUGAAGCCCACCUCCACAAUCAAGCUGACUU
Takifugu rubripes (torafugu) is the source of this 1881-nucleotide long non-coding RNA. The record is from Ensembl. NCBI's taxonomy places the organism in Eukaryota, Metazoa, Chordata, Actinopteri, Tetraodontiformes, Tetraodontidae.